RNAcentral lists this ribosomal RNA (253 nucleotides) under uncultured bacterium. RNAcentral describes it as "partial 16S ribosomal RNA". It matches the Rfam family "Bacterial small subunit ribosomal RNA", at positions 524 to 776 of the family's 1533-position model. RNAcentral also lists the same sequence under 1 other name. The record is from RNAcentral.
GACAGAGGAGGCCAGCGUUGUCCGGACUUACUGGGCGUAAAGGGUCCGCAGGUGGUCGGGCAAGCAGGGUGUGAAAGCCGCCGGCUCAACUGGCGGUCGCCAUCCUGAACUGCUUGACUAGAGGGCUGGAGAGGUCGGUGGAAUUGCCGGAGUAGUAGUGAUAUGCGUAGAUACCGGCAGGAACGCCCAAGGGGAAGCCAACCGACUGGUCAGUACCUGACACUCAGGGACGACAGCGUGGGGAGCGAACUGG